CAGUAGCCACGGUAAUACGAAGGGGGCUAGCGUUGUCCGGAAUUAUUGGGCGUAAAGAGCUCGUAGGCGGUCUGUCACGUCGGCUGUGAAAACCUGGGGCUCAACCCCGGGCCUGCAGCCGAUACGGGCAGACUAGAGUUCGGCAGGGGAGACUGGAAUUCCUGGUGUAGCGGUGAAAUGCGUAGAGAUGUGGAGGAAUACCGGUGGCGAAGGCAGCCCCCUGGGCCAAUACUGACGCUCAUGCACGAAAGCGUGGGGAGCAAACAGGAUUAGAUACCCGCGUAGUCCCUGUCUCUUAUAC
Molecule: ribosomal RNA, 301 nt
Filed under: uncultured bacterium
Lineage: Bacteria
Description: partial 16S ribosomal RNA
Rfam family: Bacterial small subunit ribosomal RNA
Source: RNAcentral